This 561-nucleotide ribosomal RNA is filed under the name Saccharomyces cerevisiae (brewer's yeast). RNAcentral's name for it is "partial large subunit ribosomal RNA". It matches the Rfam family "Eukaryotic large subunit ribosomal RNA", at positions 78 to 655 of the family's 3401-position model. Lineage: Eukaryota; Fungi; Ascomycota; Saccharomycetes; Saccharomycetales; Saccharomycetaceae. The record is from RNAcentral.
CCUUAGUACGGCGAGUGAGCGGCAAAAGCUCAAAUUUGAAAUCUGGUACCUUCGGUGCCCGAGUUGUAAUUUGGAGAGGGCAACUUUGGGGCCGUUCCUUGUCUAUGUUCCUUGGAACAGGACGUCAUAGAGGGUGAGAAUCCCGUGUGGCGAGGAGUGCGGUUCUUUGUAAAGUGCCUUCGAAGAGUCGAGUUGUUUGGGAAUGCAGCUCUAAGUGGGUGGUAAAUUCCAUCUAAAGCUAAAUAUUGGCGAGAGACCGAUAGCGAACAAGUACAGUGAUGGAAAGAUGAAAAGAACUUUGAAAAGAGAGUGAAAAAGUACGUGAAAUUGUUGAAAGGGAAGGGCAUUUGAUCAGACAUGGUGUUUUGUGCCCUCUGCUCCUUGUGGGUAGGGGAAUCUCGCAUUUCACUGGGCCAGCAUCAGUUUUGGUGGCAGGAUAAAUCCAUAGGAAUGUAGCUUGCCUCGGUAAGUAUUAUAGCCUGUGGGAAUACUGCCAGCUGGGACUGAGGACUGCGACGUAAGUCAAGGAUGCUGGCAUAAUGGUUAUAUGCCGCCCGUCUU